Long non-coding RNA from Amphiprion ocellaris (clown anemonefish), 2481 nucleotides. Lineage: Eukaryota; Metazoa; Chordata; Actinopteri; Pomacentridae. The record is from Ensembl.
UAAUCUUGAUAGACAAACAAAUGCUUUUGUAGGUUUGCAUGUUUUUGAGUUCCCUAAAUGCUUUAAAUCAAACGUAUAAUUUUAGAGGUAAAAAGUAGAGGAAAUUGUAUGAUUAUUACAGAUAUUGCAUGUAGAGUUUGAGUUUCUUCUGGAGAAUUAUUCUGCUAUUCAAGGGCUUUUCAGGAAAAGCAGAUCAUUACACUAUCCCAGCUGACUCGGGCGAAGUCAGGGGACACCCUAGACAGGUCGCCAGUCUGUCGCAGGGCCACAUACAGAGACUCACAUUCACACCUACAGGCAAUUUAGAACGACUAAUUAACCUCAGCAUAUUUUUGGACUGUGGGAGGAAGCUGGAGUACCCGGAGAGAACCCACACAUGCACAGGGAGAACAUGCAAACUCCAUGCAGAAAGAUCCCAGGCAAGCGAACCAGGGAUCUUCUCACUGCAAGGCGAAAGUGCUAACCACUACACCACUGUGCAGCCCUGAAAUACAGGGCGUUUUUCCUUUUCAUGAUCUAAAAGGGAUAUACGAUUUUUUUUUAAAUGCUUUGAUUUUCGUUUUAUAUUUAGAAUAACAAGAAAGUAAAAUCAGUAACAGACAGAAACGAAAAAAGGUCAGUUUUUUUCAUUUUGUGAGACCGGAAGUGGUCAUCAGCAAGUGUGGAUUCAAACAGAGUACGGUGCAUAGACUGUACAUACAUUUUUUUUUUCGUGAGUUUUCAUGGUCAAAAUGAGAGAUCAGGUGGCCGAUCUUAAAAUAAAUCAAGAUUGAUUUUUUUUUAUAGAGCGUUAAAGUUUUGCGAAGCGAGGGGGCGGGGCUACUUGACUGACAGUCCGGUCUGGAAUGAUUGACAGGUCCUAUGGAGGAGGCAGCAGAGACUCUGCUCUCCUCGUUUGGAUUAAUUCUGAUAUAAUAACUGUUGGUUUAUUUAUCGGUGGAGCAGCACAACAUUUUCCACAGACAGUUUUCCUGCCCAUUGGCUUGUUUUAACCAGUUUUCUACCUUGGGCUGAUUCUACCAGCAGACACUGAAAGGACUCUGAUAGUUCAGUAAUUAAAGCCGCGCUUCCACAAGCACCUACUCGGCGCGGUGCGGCUCGGCUCGUCUUUGUUUGCGAGCGUUUCCAUAUGGGUUAGUGCAUGGUAUCAGGCACUAUUUUCCAUCCCUUCUCGGCUGAGGUUCCAAGCAAGAUGAAUUGAGCCGAGAUGUGACGUCUACAUAGUGCAGGCCAUUGAUUGGACAGGAGUGCAGCCCACUGAUUGGACAGGGAUUGACGACACAGGAGAGCGACUCCAGCACGAAAACAAAACCGGCAUUUAAAAAAAAAAACUAAACAGCGAGGGUGUACAUUGCUCUUCACGGAGCUCUCUGUUCUUCAUAAUUUUAAUAUGACAGCCAGACCUGUACUGUGGGUGAAUGAAGAGGUCGAGACUUUUCUGUCUUUGGUGGUGGACCAAAGAAUACAGAGGGAGCUGGACAUAGAAAGUUUAUCAGGAGGUCUCAGAGCGGAUGGCUGCUCACAUAUACAGUAGACUGUAUAUAAAGAGGACAAUGAAGCAGUGUAGGGAGAAGCUGAAAAAGCUCAAAAAUGACUAUUGGUCCACCAAGGACCACAGCGGUCGGCGUGGGUCAACCAGGAGGUGUUGGAAGAGGUUUAAUGGAAGCUAUUUACUGGCACCGCACCGACGAGCAACAGGAGGGAGACUCAGCUGCUGCAUUAUUGGAGACGUUUGAGAACGAAUCCCUUUCGACAUGCAAAGCCUGCUCCACCUCCGUCGCGGAGCCCCCAGCUCCCCUGCCUCCUCUCCACCACCAGUACCAACUCGGACACCGACCCUGUCAGCAUCAACCUCCAGCACGUAACAGCAACGUCUUAUCACUGGCAAUAGGAAAAGAGGCCACAGAAAAUUGGACCUUCCAAGCGUACUUGUGGAGAUGCAGGCUGAGGAGGAGUGGAAUCAUGCCCAGCAUGAUGAGAACAUCUGGUUGCUCCUCAGCGAAGCAAGAGAGAAUGAAGGGGCCUUGCAGCGGAGGAGAUGGCCCAGAAUACUGCCUUCAACCAGUCAUUCCUGGGUGUACUGGGGCAGCUGGUGCAGGCAGUGGGCAGCCAGCGAGUCCACCUCCCAGAGACUUGAGAUUUAGUUGUAUAUAGUUUUACUUUUAGUCCUCCACUGUAGGAGAGGCCCACCACAGUUUGUACUUUGCACAUUGUAAAUAGUUUUGAUUUUGCUGCUGACUAAUAAACUAUUUUGUGACUUAUGUAAUUGCAUCAUAACUUUUCAUUUUGUCUGUUAAGACACUGGUAGGAAAAGAGUCAACAGUCUAAACCAAACAAUUCUGUAUUCCCUAAUAAUGCAUUUAUGUUUAAUGGGAUUUAAUAUGUUUUAACACAAACUUCUUUAUGGUUCAUAAUUCCGUUGACUGAAUUACACCAAAGCAAUACUGAUUUAUCAAACUGGAAUAUUCUUAAAACAGCUGU